AGUGAACGCUGGCGGUAGGCCUAACACAUGCAAGUCGAACGGAAGCACUUACAGAGUUUGUUGUUACGGGUUGCGAGUGGCGGGAGGGUGAGGAAUACCUAGCAAUCUUCUAAUUCGUGGUGGAUAACGAAGUAAAACUUACGCUAAUACGGCAAACGUCCUACAGGUGAAAGCGGGGGAUCUUCUGAUCUUGCACGAUUGGAUGGUCCGAUGUCGGAUUGCCUAGUUGGCGGGGUAAAGGUCCGCCAAGGCGACGAUCCGAAGCUGGUCUGAGAGGAUGAUCAGCCACACGGGAACUGAGACACGGUCCAGACUCCGACGGGAGGCAGCGGUCGGAAAUAUUCGAGAAUGGGCGGAAGCCUAAUCUAGCCAAACCGCGUGAGUGAAGAAGGCCCACGGGUUGUAAAGCCCUUUUGUUGGGAAGGAAAUACAGCUGUGUAAUACUCCGCGAUUCUGACGGUACCCAAAGAAUAAGCACCGGCUAACUUCGUG
RNAcentral lists this ribosomal RNA (492 nucleotides) under uncultured bacterium. RNAcentral's name for it is "partial 16S ribosomal RNA". It matches the Rfam family "Bacterial small subunit ribosomal RNA", at positions 29 to 507 of the family's 1533-position model. The record is from RNAcentral.